Molecule: long non-coding RNA, 5129 nt
Filed under: Homo sapiens (human)
Lineage: Eukaryota; Metazoa; Chordata; Mammalia; Primates; Hominidae
Description: non-protein coding lnc-DNAJC2-1:3
Source: RNAcentral
AGUUCAGCAGCCCCAGGCCGCCUGGCGCCCGGCGGGUCCGGGUCGAGGAGGCCCUGCCCGACCCACUGUUCGGAUCUGUGGCGCCGACUCUCAGGUGCGCUGCGCCGGGUCUGGCGAGAUCUCGAGGACAGGACCGGCCUGGAGGGAAGCUCACCCGUCCCGCAGCGCCUCGGAUUAGAAGACUCUCGCUGAAACCCCAGAGCCGCCGCCGCGCCGCGGAUGACAACACCACUCGAGCCGCCGCAGCCGCCAUUUCUGCUAGAAGGAAGGUAGAGGAUGAAGGAUGUGCUUCCGGGGUCGCGACCUGAGGUCCCAGAGCAGGGAGGUGGGCUCCACCUUGUGGCCGUGAUGGGAAUGACACUCCUCGAAGCGGUUGUGAAAGCAAUCAGGGCCCGACCAUGAUGCUGAGCGGUCUUUACCAAAUGAAUUGGGGAGUCUGCAGAAGCCCCUUUAUCAUCAGUUAUUUUAUCGAUCGCCUACUAAGUGCAAGGCACAAAUGCGGUGGAAUGAAAGGUAACCUGAUGCAAUAUAUCUCACUGGUGGAUGGAAUUGAUUGAAAACAGUGGAAUAAUAUUCAUAAGUCACUGCCUUUAAAGGAAAAGUCUAGUGGGAGAGACAGAUGCCGUGAGGGGAGGAAACGAUGUAUCCGUGUUGACCACUAUCCACUCUUCGAACCUCUACAAUAUGGCUCAUCUCAUUCCAUAGAAAUUGCCCUUGGUAAGGUCACUAAUUGCUAAAAGUUGGACACUUUACAGACUUAUGUUACAGUCCUGUUGGAGGAUUUGACAUUGUUGGCUUCUUUGAAAUUCUCUUUUCUCAAUAUAUUCUAGAGCUCCACCUCCUCAUAGUUCCCUCUGCACCUUCUUGGACUCCUCUUUAUUCACAGAUCUGUUUUUUGUUUUUGUUUUUGUUUUUGAGAUGGAGUUUCACUCUUGUUGCCCAGGCUGGAGUGCAGUGGUGCAAUCUCAGCUCACUGCAACCUCUGCCUCCUGGGUUCAAGCAAUUCUCCUGCCUCAGCCUCCCAGGUAGCUGGGAUUACAGGCAUGUGCCACCACGCCUGGCUACUUUGUAUUUUUAGUAGAGAUGGGGUUUCACCAUAUUGGUCAGGCUGGUUUUGAACUCCUAACCUCAGGUAAUCCACCCACCUCCACCUCCCAAAGUGCUAGGAUUACAGGCGUGAGCCACUGCGCCCAGCCCACAGAUCUCUCAAGGAACUAAAAAUUGCAAAUGCUUUUCUAACUCAGGUAGAUGGUAUAGUGCUUAUUUUGCAAUUAAGACACUGAAGUCAAAUAACUUGCCCCAGGUUACCCUGCUAGUAAUAGGUUAACGCCAAAGACUGUGCUGUGAAACACUACAUUUUGCCCUAAAAGUUGGUGUUUGCCAGGACUCUAAGCCUCUUCUACUGAACAUUCUCCCUCUGGGUUUUUCCCUCCACUUCAAGACCUGUCUGCCCAACCCAGGCCUUUCUCUUGAGCUCCAGCCCACUUAACCAUCAACUACUAGGAAACUACACUUGAAUACCCCAUUGGAAACUCAAUAUCAACUUGUCCAAAAGGGAAUUCACUGUGUCCCCUGAAUCUCUUCCCAUAUUUGCAAUGCCAAACAGCCAAUCAUACCUACAUUUGCCCAAAACUCCAAACCACCCAGAAGCUCCUCUCUUUUUCCAUCUUCCACAUUCAAUUGAUACACCCCUUUCCUGCCUCUUCAAUCUACUCCAGGCCCAUUGUCAGUUUUUUCACAUUACUACCUAUAGGAUCUUUUACAAAUGAAACUGUUACGGCAGUCCCAUUAUGAAGAAUCCAUCAGGGAGCCCUUGGUCACAAUAAAGUAAAGGGUCCUUAGCAUGGCAGGUGGGGCCCUUCAUGAUCUGACUCCCAUUUAUCUUUCCAGACUCAUCUCCCUCCACCUACCCGGCUGCUAUGCUUCGCAGGUUCAGUCCACAAGACUCAUGAUGUAAUGUAAUAAAGGACGACCAAGGUUAUUCUCUCAUGUUUCUAAAACAAAUGUGUGUUAACCAAAAAUAAAUACAAACAUGCAUACAUAUAUACAAAAACAUGUAGGUAUAAUCACAGGAAGCACCUAGGAAGUUUUAGCAAGAAUUUGUAUUCAAUUCUAAUAUACUUCAUGGUAUUAAUUUAUUAGUCAUUAUUUACAGUCAAUAUCUUAGAACAUAAAGCCUACAGAAAUUAAGUGCACCAGAGUAGAGCCAAGAAAUCAAAGAAUUUGACUACUCCCAAAAUAGCCCUACACCCACAACAGUAUCCAUAACUUUUUUUCUUUUUUUUUUUUUUGAGACGGAGUUUCUCUCUUGUUGCCCAGGCUGGAGUGCAAUGGUGCAAUCUCAGCUCACUGCAACCUCCGCCUCCGGGGUUCUAGCAAUUCCCUUGCCUCAGCCUCCCAAGUAGCUGGGAUUACAGGUGCCCACCACCACACCCGGCUACUUCUUGUACUUUUAGUAGAAACGGGGUUUCACCAGUUUGGCCAGGCUGGUCUUGAACUCCUGACCUCAAGUGAUCCUCCCGCCUCAGCCUCCCAAAGUGCUGGGAUUACAGGCGUGAGCCACUGCACCUGGCCUAUUUUAAAUGAUUUCUUCACUGACUGGAUUUUACUGGCAGAGUCAUUGCUAUUUUUGUUGUUUGGAAAUUUUAAUCAUGGAUGUCAUAUUCCUUUAAUUCUUUCAUGUUUGAGGAUGUCUGCUUUUAUCUUUAUACUUGAAUGACAUUUUUGUCUGGAUUUAAUAUUGUUGGGUCACAGUUUCAUUUUCUCAGAAUUUUAUAAACAUUACUCCAUUAUGCUCUUGAGUUAAAUGUUUUGGAGAAGUCUGAGGCUAGCCAGAUUUUUUCUUUUUUUACCACCCUUAAAUGUGACCUGUUUUAUCUGCCUAAAAACCUAAAAAAUUAUUCUUGAAGUUCAGUAACUUAACUAGGCUAUAUCUUAAUGUUGAGUAAUUUUUGUGUUGUGAUUUUUAUCAAAAUUUUCAAAAACAUAAUAUGUUUUCAUUCUGCAGUUUCACUUCUUCCUUCAUUUUAGAGAAAGUCUCUUUGAAUACAUAUUCUGGCAUUCCAUUCAGUAUGUUAUCUUUUCAAGGACUGCAGCUCUCCUUAUGCUGAAUGACUUUAUCUGUCCUUCAUAUUUAUUAGCAUCUCUCUAACUUUUUAAAGCUUUGUCAUUUUCCUCUACUUUUUUUGUGAUUAUCUCAAGACACAAGUAGGCCUACGCAAACAUGCCCUACUAAUUUUUAGCAAACGUGCAGAGGCAAUUCAAUAGAUGAAGAAUAGCAUUUCAACAAAUGCUGCUGGAACAAUUAGAUGUUCAUAUCCACGGCUCCCCGCUCCCCAACUCCCAAUGAACCUAAACCUCACACUUUAUACAAAAAUUAACUCAAAAUAAAUCAUGGAUGCAAAUAUGUGACAUAAAACUAUAAAACUUUUAGAAAAACACGUAGGAUAAAAUAUUUGGGAUAUAGGAAUAGACAAGGAGUUUUUAGACCUGAUAUCAAAAAUAUAAUGCUUAAAACAAGAUUAAAGCCAGGCGCGGUGGCUCACGCCUGUAAUCCCAACACUUUGGGAGGCCAAGACAGGCAGAUCACCUGAGAUCAAGAGAUCGAGACCAUCCUGGCCAACAUGGUGAAACCCCUUCUCUACUAAAAAUACAAAAAUUAGCUGGGCAUGGUGGCACGCACCUGUAGUCCCAGGUAUUGAGAGGCUGAGGCAAAAGAAUCGCUUGAACCUGAGAGGCAGAGGUUGCAGUUAGCUGAGAUCGUGCCACUGCACUCCAACCUGGUGACAGAGGAAAACUCCAUCUCAAAACAAACAAACAAACAAAAAAAACAAGAUUAAAAGCUUUUGCUCUAAAAAAGAUGCUGUUAAGAGGAUGAAAAGACAAGCUACAGACUGGGAGAAAAUAUUUGCAAACCACAUAUUCAGCAAAGGACCUGUGUCUGAAUUAUGCAAAAAAACCCUCUCAAAAACAGUGAAAAAAAAUGGGCAAAAGACAUGAACAGACAUUUCACUGAAGGAGAAAUACAGAUGGCAGAUAAGCACAUGAAAAGAUGUCCAAUAUCAUCAAUCAUUACAAAAUGCAAAUUAAAAUGAUGAGCUAUCGCUACACAUGUAGCAGAAUGGCUCAAGUGAAAAACAGCAAUAACACCACAUGCUGGCAAGGAUAUAGAAAAACAAGAUCACUCAUACAUUACUAGUGGGAAUAUAAAACUCCAGAGUAGUACAGCCACUUAUUAUACAACCCAGUAAUUGAACUCCUGGGCAUUUAUCCCAGAAAGAUGAAAACUGAAGUUUACACAAAAACAUCUACACAUAUAUUCAUAGCAGCUUUACUCAUGAUAGCCAAUAAUUGGAAAUAAUGCAAAUGUCCUUCAACAGGUGAAUGGUUAAACACACUGUGGUACAUUCGUACCACGGAAUACUACUCAGCUCUCAAAAGGAAUGAACUACUGAUAAAUGCAACAACUUGAAUGGGCCUCAAGGGAAUUAUGACAAUACCAAAAGGUUAUAUGCUAUAUGAUUCCAUUUAUAUAACAUUCCUGAAAUGACAGAAUUAUAGAGAUGGAGAAUAGACUCGUGAUUCCCCAAGGGUUGGACUGGGGAGGGGAGAAGCGCAGGGACAAGAGGGAGAUGAGUAUGGCUAUGAAAGCGUGGCAUGAGAGGUUCUUGAAGCAAUGGGACCAUUCUCUAUUUCAACUGUGCUGCUAGUUACACGAAUGUACACAUGUAAAAUUGCAUAGCAUUAAAUACACACAAAUGAACGCACAUAAAACUGGUAAAAUAUGAAUCAGUUCAGUGUAUCGUAUCGACGUCAAUUUCCUGGUUGUGAUAUUGUUUCUAUUCAUGCAAGAUGUUAUUGUUGGGGCAAACUGGAUGAAAAGUAUAUGGGAUCUCUCUGUAUUAUUUCUUACAGCUACAGGUGGACCUACAAUUAUCUCAAAAUAAAAAGUUUAAUUAAAAAAAAUGAGGUUACAUUUCCAAAACCUUUUUCUUUUUAUGGGAAGGGGACAGUGGGAGAAGAAUACUGCUUUCUAUCUGUUGACAAUUAUGUAUUAUAGUCAUGCAUUCAAGUACACACACACACAUCACCAGAGCUCUUACACAAAUUGAAAUAGGAAGAGAAUCUCA